AUGGAGGCCUUGAAGGAGAUCUUAAACAGCUAUGAAGCGGCCUCGGGGCAACGUGUGAACUUAGAGAAAUCUUCAAUCUUCUUUGGAAAGGGCUGCCGGGAUGACACAAAGGUAGAGAUGAAAGGGGUGCUUGGGAUUGACUCAGAAGCUCUAAGUGAACGAUAUCUUGGGUUGCCAACAAUGGUUGGCCGAUCCAAGGAAGGCACUUUCAAGUAUGUCACGGAAAGCUCAAAAUCAAAGGUG
This 243-nucleotide ribosomal RNA is filed under the name Triticum aestivum (bread wheat). RNAcentral's name for it is "partial small subunit ribosomal RNA". The record is from RNAcentral. Lineage: Eukaryota; Viridiplantae; Streptophyta; Magnoliopsida; Poales; Poaceae.